AGGACGAACGCUGGCGGCGUGCUUAACACAUGCAAGUCGAGCGGAAAGGCCCUUCGGGGUACUCGAGCGGCGAACGGGUGAGUAACACGUGAGCAACCUGCCCCUGGCUCUGGGAUAGCCUCCGGAAACGGGGAUUAAUACCGGACAUUCACUGCCUGCCGCAUGGUGGGUGGUGGAAAGUUUUUCGGCCAGGGAGGGGCUCGCGGUCUAUCAGCUUGUUGGCGGGGUAACGGCCCACCAAGGCGACGACGGAUAGCCGGCCUGAGAGGGCGAUCGGCCACACUGGGACUGAGACACGGCCCAGACUCCUACGGGAGGCAGCAGUGGGGAAUAUUGCACAAUGGGCGCAAGCCUGAUGCAGCGACGCCGCGUGGGGAUGAAGGCCUUCGGGUUGUAACCCCUUUCACCAGGAGCGAAUUCAGACGGUACCGUAGGGGAAGAAGGCGCCGGCUAACUACGUGCCAGCAGCCGC
Molecule: ribosomal RNA, 472 nt
Filed under: uncultured bacterium
Lineage: Bacteria
Description: SSU rRNA
Rfam family: Bacterial small subunit ribosomal RNA
Source: RNAcentral